AUGAAAUACUAUACAUGCUGUUAAAUGGAUAGCUAGGUUUUGGUAUUUGACGAAGGACGUGGCAAGCUGCGAUAAGUUCUGGGGAGCUGCAUGCAAGCUUUGAUCCAGAAAUCUCCGAAUUACACAGAGAUGUGGAACUACGCCGGGAAUUGAAACAUCUUAGUACCGGCAGGAAGAGAAAAUAAAUUAAUGAUGUCCUUAUUAGCAGAGAGCGAAAAGGACCAAGGGCGAACUGAAUCCCUCCGCUAAAGCGGAGAGGAGAUGUGGUGGGCAUAAAUUUCUAAGUUCUCGAAUCGAAAUUUGAUGGAAAGCAAGACCAUAGAAGGUGAUAGUCCUGUAGAUGAAGAGAAUAUGAAGUUGCCUAAAGAGUAGGGCGUCCUGAAUUGGACGUCUGAAUACGGCAGAAUUAACUGCCAACCCUAAACAUAACCAAAGUCCGAUAGUGCACUAGUACCGCGAGGGAAAGCUGAAAAGAACUCUUAACAGAGGAUGAAAAGAUUUGAAAUUUGACAGCGACAGUUUGUUACUGCUCUUAACCGCAAGGAAAGGGUUGUAACGUACGUUUCGAAGAACGGGCCAGGGAGUUUACUUAAACGGCGAGGCUAAUCGUCUAUGACGAGUAACCGGAGCGCAAGCAAGUCUGAAAGGGCGACGAGUCGUUUGGGUAUGACCUGAAGCCAGAUGAUCUAUUCAUGGGCAAGAUGAAGUCUCUCGAAAGAGGGAUGGAGGUCUGAACCAGUGCUGCGUACAUACGCUUGGAUGAUCUGUGAAUAGGGGUGAAAAGCCUCUCUAAUCUGGCAAUGGCUGGUUCCUGCUGAAAUAUGCCUACGUAUAGUCUUAUCUAAUUUGUCAACGGGGUAAAGUACGGAUAGCUUUUGCAGGGUCAAAUGACUACGGAAAUCUUUCCAACUCAGAAACUGUUGACUGUAUAUGAUAGGAAACAGGGUGUGUAUGUAAGAUACACCUCCGAGACCGGAACAACGGAGACCAAAGUUAAGGUCCCUAAAUUCAUGUUAAGUGUAUAAAAGGAUGUCUUGAACCUGAGACACUAGGGAUGUAAGCUUAGAAGCAGCUAUCAUUUAAAGAAAGCGUAACAGCUCACCUAUUGAGGUCUAGGGCUCCAAAGAUGGACGGGGCUAAACAUGAUACCGAUACUUUGGCGGCGCUCUUUUGAGCGUUCGGGUAAGCAGGCGUGCUUUCUGCGCAGAAGGUCAUCUUAGAGGAUGGCUGGAGCGGGAAGCAAUGAAAAUCCUGGCAAUAGUAGGAUGAAAUUUUCCUGAGAAUGGAAAACGUCGAAAGAGCAAGGUUUCCUUGGCAAUAUUCAUUAGCCAAGGGUUAGUCAGUACCUUAGAUGCACCUUAACUGAGUGCAUUGAUGGACAGCAGGUUAAUAUUCCUGUACUGAUUGGGUCUUACAUAAUAUGAUCGCUUCCGGAUAAGAAAGUAUUCGAAAGAAUAUUCUGACGAAAAAAAUCAUCGAGCGUAAUGCACAGACAUGAAAGAAUUCGUUGGACCAAAUUCCUGAUUCCAGGAGCCAGUGAAAAAAUUAUAUUCUUGAUUCAAUCAACUGUACCGAUAUCCGACACUGGUGCUCUAGCUGAGAAGGCUAAGACGUGUAAGGCUAAAUCAACUAAGGGAACUCGGCAUAUUAGUCCUGUAGCUUAGGCUGAAGGGAUGUCUAUAUUCGUGCAUUCCAGAAAUGUUUUGUGCGUUUGUAGAUCGCAGUAACAAGGAUGGCCCGACUGUUUACCAAAAACGUAGCUGAGUGCUAAUCUGAAAAGACUUGUAUACUCAGUGAGACCUGCCCAGUGGUGGUGUUUCAAACUCUUUUUCAAGGGAGCUAAGACCCAUCAAACGGCGGAGGUAACUAUGACCNNNNNNNNUUGCAAAAAGAAAAACGCUUCAAAGGUUAUAGAAAGUAAAUGGUUGAAUGAAAAUAAAAGUUACAGAAUUAAAGUUAAAUCAAAAACAUCGUCCAAGCGUGGUCGAUGUAAAGAAGAAAAUCUAACUAUAUGCUGGAACAUCCGAGAAUAUUUUGGUACUUUCAGUAAAAUGAAAGUGAAAAUCUAAAAUUGCGGACAAUCAGCAGGAAAGACUAGAAUUAGAAAAGUUAUUAAAUAAAAACUCUUUAGUUAAGAUAUGAACUUUAAACCAAAUGCUUGGAAAGUUAUUUCAUCCAUAUUAAUUGGAUGGUUAAUUAUU
Candidatus Pacearchaeota archaeon RBG_16_35_8 is the source of this 2201-nucleotide non-coding RNA. The record is from Rfam. NCBI's taxonomy places the organism in Archaea, Nanobdellati.